CCUACGGGUGGCAGCAGUGGGGAAUAUUGGGCAAUGGGCGCAAGCCUGACCCAGCAACGCCGCGUGAAGGAAGAAGGCUUUCGGGUUGUAAACUUCUUUUGUCAGGGAAGAGUAGAAGACGGUACCUGACGAAUAAGCCACGGCUAACUACGUGCCAGCAGCCGCGGUAAUACGUAGGUGGCAAGCGUUGUCCGGAUUUACUGGGUGUAAAGGGCGGGGAGGCGGGUUGACAAGUCAGAUGUGAAAACCUGGGGCUUAACCGCAGAACUGCAUUUGAAAAUAUUGAUCUUGAGUACUGGAGAGGCAGAUGGAAUUCCUAGUGUAGCGGUGAAAUGCGUAGAUAUUAGGAGGAACACCAGUGGCGAAGGCGGUCUGCUGGACAGCAACUGACGGUGAGGCGCGAAAGCGUGGGGAGCAAACAGGAUUAGAUACCCCUGUAGUC
Molecule: ribosomal RNA, 442 nt
Filed under: uncultured bacterium
Lineage: Bacteria
Description: partial 16S ribosomal RNA
Rfam family: Bacterial small subunit ribosomal RNA
Source: RNAcentral